RNAcentral lists this long non-coding RNA (652 nucleotides) under Prunus persica (peach). Its description in RNAcentral is "long non-coding RNA (PPER_LNC004442)". Lineage: Eukaryota; Viridiplantae; Streptophyta; Magnoliopsida; Rosales; Rosaceae. The record is from RNAcentral.
UUCACCUACAAACACUAUUUUCAACACAUUCACAUACAGAACUGAUACCUACCAACACAAUUUUCAACACAUUAACAUACAGAAUUGAUACCUACUACAAGAUGCAUUGAUCCUUCUGCAUCCCAAAUCAUCUCAUAUGCACAGUUAAGAUUAAAUUAUCUCUUCUACGUUCUACUUCUAAUGGUACUUAUUCUUUGUUUUCCAAACCCCAUUAAAUCCCUAAAAUGAUGACAUACACUCACACCACUAGAUGGGCAAAGCACGAUUACAAUGACCAACACAUGAAGGUUCCUGGAAUUUUAAGAAAAGACAACAAGCAAGCACAAUGCAAAAAAAAAAAAAAAGGAACAACCAACAGCUAUGAAUCUGAGCUUUAACAAAUUACCACAAAAAAUUGCGAUAAAAAAAAACCCAACUUUUGGAAAAAGUAAAUAAUAUUUAAACCGCAGAAAAACUUUAAAAAUUAGUUACUAUGCUUCAGCAAAUUACUAGAAACUAGAAAAAGACGCAAAAAAACAACUAAAGCCAAUUUAUAUUUUUGCAAACACAACUACUACAGAGACAGACUACUCUUAUCCAGAAAAUCAAAGCCUAAAAUCCUACACCAGAGAUAGACUACUCUUACCCAGAAAAUCAAUGCCCUAAAAUCCUA